GACCUCGGAUCAGGUAGGAAUACGCGCUGAACUUAAGCAUAUCAAUAAGCGGAGGA
Molecule: ribosomal RNA, 56 nt
Filed under: Fonsecaea pedrosoi
Lineage: Eukaryota; Fungi; Ascomycota; Eurotiomycetes; Chaetothyriales; Herpotrichiellaceae
Also listed under: 4 other names
Description: partial 28S ribosomal RNA
Source: RNAcentral